AGAACGAACGCUGGCGGCAUGCCUAAUACAUGCAAGUCGAACGAACUCUUCGGAGUUAGUGGCGCACGGGUGCGUAACGCGUGGGAAUCUGCCCCUUGGUUCGGAAUAACAGUUGGAAACGACUGCUAAUACCGGAUGAUGACGAAAGUCCAAAGAUUUAUCGCCAAGGGAUGAGCCCGCGUAGGAUUAGCUAGUUGGUGAGGUAAAGGCUCACCGAAGGCAACGAUCCUUAGCUGGUCUGAGAGGAUGAUCAGCCACACUGGGACUGAGACACGGCCCAGACUCCGUACGGGAGCGAGCGAGUGGGGGAAUAUUGGAACGUAAGUGGGCGACAAGCCGUAGAGUCCCAAGCGAAUGGCCGCGUGUGUAGGAAGAAGGCCUUUAGGGUUGUAAAGUCCUAACGUUUAAGGUUAA
Molecule: ribosomal RNA, 414 nt
Filed under: uncultured soil bacterium
Lineage: Bacteria
Description: bacterial SSU rRNA
Rfam family: Bacterial small subunit ribosomal RNA
Source: RNAcentral